UAGGGAAUCUUCCACAAUGGACGAAAGUCUGACGGAGCAACGCCGCGUGAACGAUGAAGGCCUUCGGGUCGUAAAGUUCUGUUGUUAGGGAAGAACAAGUAUCGGAGUAACUGCCGGUACCUUGACGGUACCUAACCAGAAAGCCACGGCUAACUACGUGCCAGCAGCCGCGGUAAUACGUAGGUGGCGAGCGUUGUCCGGAUUUACUGGGCGUAAAGAGCGCGCAGGCGGUCGUGCAAGUCGCGUGUGAAAGCCCCCGGCUCAACUGGGGAGGGUCACGCGAUACUGUUCGACUCGAAGGCAGGAGAGGGAAGUGGAAUUCCCGGUGUAGUGGUGAAAUGCGUAGAUAUCGGGAGGAACACCAGUGGCGAAGGCGACUUCCUGGCCUGUUCUUGACGCUGAGGCGCGAAAGCUAGGGUAGCAA
This 424-nucleotide ribosomal RNA is filed under the name uncultured bacterium. RNAcentral describes it as "bacterial SSU rRNA". It matches the Rfam family "Bacterial small subunit ribosomal RNA", at positions 355 to 771 of the family's 1533-position model. The record is from RNAcentral.